CUCUACUGAGAGGGACGGAUUGCGUUUAGAGAGAUAAACCGGCCUUGAUUUGUCAAGCCUCAACUCCCCAGCACAGAAUACUGUGCCCAUCAUUCUACAAGAGGAGGCUGAGAAGAGGGUGAGGGCUGAGGAAAAGUGCUCCACCCGAGAACGAUAAAGCCACAAAGUUAUCUCCAACCAUUCAGACCAGGGAUCCUGAAGACCUUCAUUCCAGGUAGCACCAUGCCUGGCCCAGAGCCAAGCUCAAGACAUUAAUGCCAGGCAUCAUGGUUGGCCCUGGGACGCAGGGGUGACUAAGGAGCUUCCUUGAGGAGUGUGAAUGAGUCAAGAAGCACCAAAGUCCUGGAAGAAAAUAUGAACAUCCUCUUUGACACAAGUCAUCAUCUC
Long non-coding RNA from Physeter macrocephalus (sperm whale), 387 nucleotides. RefSeq lists it as uncharacterized. NCBI's taxonomy places the organism in Eukaryota, Metazoa, Chordata, Mammalia, Artiodactyla, Physeteridae. The transcript is spliced from 3 exons. The record is from RefSeq and is a predicted model, not a curated record.